RNAcentral lists this long non-coding RNA (854 nucleotides) under Microcebus murinus (gray mouse lemur). RNAcentral describes it as "lncRNA (ENSMICG00000048682.1)". Lineage: Eukaryota; Metazoa; Chordata; Mammalia; Primates; Cheirogaleidae. The record is from RNAcentral.
GCGGGAAGAAGAUUCAGAACUACAGGGAAAAUAAGCAAUGCAGUCAUUUCUCAACAGGCAGGCUGUUUUCAGGGGGCACUUGGCGACCCUCGCCUUGACAGAAGUGAGGCACAGUAUGCUGUUUGUGAAGAUGAAACCCUGUACGUGUGUUCAGAGGGCUGAGAUUUAUGGAAACAUGAGGGAUUUUAAAAAGAAGAAACCUCCCUGUGCCUGGCUGCAGGGGCAGGGGCAGUGGGGCCUCUCCUCCCUGGUGGUGCCAAGAGACCUGCCUCCUGGAAGUCACUGUUAGGCAAAAGUUCCGGUCAGAACCUCGUCUGACCUUCUGUGGGUUGCGAUCCAGACACAUGGAGGAGGUUGAGGCUCCACUGGGAGGGCAGGCUUGCCGUCCAGAAAUAGAGCUGGGAUAUGGAGUGUUUGAAAAGUCCCAGGACUUCUGGGGGACAAGCCUUGAAGUGUCAUGUUCCAGAUUGCACCAGUCUCUGGAAUCUACAAUUCUGGGGCUCUGUGUCUCCUCUGCGCAUCAGUUGAGCCCAACAACAGCAACAACACUGCUUGGGGUAGUGGAGCCAGCUAACGCCUGUACUUGGAGUUGCUUGGCUUCUUUGGAAAAAUGUGACCUGUUCCAGCCGGGAGUGAGAUCCAGAGAAGGGAAAGUGCAUCUGGCACGGGCCUGCCUUCUCUCCGAGAGGGAGUGUUUCCAUGGAAGGAAACCACAUGGUUUGCCAGGAUCUGUGAGCGAGGAGCUGUUGCUGUUCUGUGUGCCACUGUGCCCCGGCCAUUGGUGCAUUUGUGCUGGGCUUUGGAGCUGGGUGCCCAGGGUGAGGUCUCAGAUCUACUGCUUCCUGCUGUGCUAA